ACAUGCAGAGAACUUUCCUAGAGAUGGAGUUGGUGGCCUUCGGGAACGUCUGACACAGGUGCUGCAUGGCUGUCGUCAGCUCGUGUCGUGAGAUGUUGGGUUAAGUCCCGUAACGAGCGCAACCCUUGUCCUUAGUUACCAGCACGUUAUGGUGGGCACUCUAAGGAGACUGCCGGUGACAAACCGGAGGAAGGUGGGGAUGACGUCAAGUCCUCAUGGCCUUUAUGACCAGGGCUACACACGUACUACAAUGGCCGAUACAAAGGGCAGCGACACUGCGAGGUGAAGCCAAUCCCGUAAAAUCGGUCUCAGUCCGGAUUGGAGUCUGCAACUCGACUCCAUGAAGUUGGAAUCGCUAGUAAUCGUGGAUCAGCAUGCCACGGUGAAUACGUUCCCGGGCCUU
This 403-nucleotide ribosomal RNA is filed under the name uncultured Desulfobulbus sp. Its description in RNAcentral is "bacterial SSU rRNA". It matches the Rfam family "Bacterial small subunit ribosomal RNA", at positions 984 to 1382 of the family's 1533-position model. Lineage: Bacteria; Pseudomonadati; Thermodesulfobacteriota; Desulfobulbia; Desulfobulbales; Desulfobulbaceae. The record is from RNAcentral.